RNAcentral lists this transfer RNA (87 nucleotides) under Bradymonas sediminis. It matches the Rfam family "tRNA". From Rfam's summary of the family: Transfer RNA (tRNA) molecules are approximately 80 nucleotides in length. Their secondary structure includes four short double-helical elements and three loops (D, anti-codon, and T loops). Lineage: Bacteria; Deltaproteobacteria; Bradymonadales; Bradymonadaceae. The record is from Rfam by way of RNAcentral.
GGAGGAGUGGCCGAGCGGUUGAAGGCACUGGUCUUGAAAACCAGCAACGUUUUAGGGCGUUCGUGGGUUCGAAUCCCACCUCCUCCA